Molecule: small nuclear RNA, 107 nt
Filed under: Anser brachyrhynchus (Pink-footed goose)
Lineage: Eukaryota; Metazoa; Chordata; Aves; Anseriformes; Anatidae
Source: RNAcentral
AUGCUCACUUCAGCAGCACAUAUACUAAAAUUGGAACAAUACAGACAGGAUUAGCAUGGCCACUAUGCAAGGAUGACAUGCGAAUUCGUGAAGUGUUCCAUAUUUUU